AAAGAGACACGUCCAUUGUUUAACUGCAUCAUCUACACAAACCAUUGUGCUUGGACCCCUUAUGAUCACCUGGACUUAAACCACAUUGUUUCAGUUACCUUCUGUGUCUUUGGCCACAACGCUUCAGUGACAGGAAUGUGAAAUAGCAAACAGGGGAACAAAUAAAAGGCAUGACUUUAUUUGCAUCCAGCUAGCCAACUCUAUUACAGGUGUUCCACAGCCAAGACUCUUAUUAGAAUAGAAAAUAGCAAGGGUUCGAAUAAAUAGUUUAUUAAUCAUUUAAUUUCACUUUCUUAAUGAAUAUUGUUCUGUGUAUGUGAUUUCAAAGUCUUGAUGCUUCGGAUUAACCCGUUAAUUGCCGUAUCCCUUAAAACCUGAGUGCCAGAGGAUUACUGUAAAUGCAUGUGCCCGCUGGGCACAGUUUACCUGAUGCCACCGGGGUGGCGUUUGCGCUGAUGGCUUGAGCCCGCCAUCGCUGCUUGCAGCUAUAUUUACUUAUUAUUAUUAUUAUUUUUAUUUUUUUUUUAACCUUCCGGGGGUUUUUGGAGCCUUAACAUACUCAAAAACUCUUGAAAAUUGGCACACACAUUGGAACCUGCGGCCAUCAGGACGCCGCAGAGUCUGGGACCCGGGCGUGGCACAGGGGCUCUACAGCGCCCCCUGGAACACAGUCAGAAAUCUUGAACCAUAGCUCACACAUACUUGCAUGUAUUUAUAUGAAACUCAGUAAACUUAUAGAUCUCAUUGAGCCGAACAACUUUCGCGCUCUAUGUCAUAGGCUCCGCCCAACAGGAAGUGAGCUAUUCAGGGCUGUUUAAAAAGCAUGCUCUGGAAUUUGAUAUACUCCUCUGAGGUCUUUCAACCCGUUUCUCCUCGAAACUCAGUGAACAUGAUCUCAAGACAUUGGGGAUGCAAAAAUUGCCAGGGGAUUUUUUUGAUAUCCCGAACGGUUUGUCCGUGGCGAGGCGUUGAAAUUAGGGCAAAAAAAUGAGAAACAGGAAAUGUCUAAUAACAUCCACAUACAUCUUUCUGAUUUUAGAUCAAACUUCAUCGGAUUGUUCGAUGUAUGAUGCCGAUCGCAUAGAUGUGACUAUUAGGAGUCAAAGUUAUAGCGCCACCAACUGGCAGCAGGAAGUGUCUAAUAACAUCCACAUACAUUUCCUGAUUUUAAUUAAACUUCAUCAAUUUGUUCGUUGUAUGAUGCCGAUCGCAUAUAUGUGACUAUUAGGAGUCAAAGUUAUAGCGCCACCAACUGGCAGCAGGAAGUGUGUCAUUUUCAAAAUGCUUUGAAUUCAGCAUCUUAUUUUUACUCAAUUUGCUUCAAACUUCAUCAGAAUAAUGACAAAAACACGGCCCAUGUAAAACUGUUGAGGGGAUAUUGAUAUCUAAUAUAGUGUUGCCAUGGCAACAUAUCAAACUGGAAUAUUUUUCUGUAUAAUAUAUUCUGAUUUUGAGGCAGAUAACAUGCUUAGAAUUUCAUGAAACUCAGAACACAUAGCCCCUAAUAAGAAGAAAUAUAGCUGCAAGCAGCGAUGGCGGGCUCAAGCCAUCAGUUCAAACGCCACCCCGGUGGCAUCAGGUAAACUGUGCCCAGCGGGCACAUGCAUUUACAGUAACCCUCUGGCACUCAGGUUUUAAGGGAUAUGGCAAUUAACAGGUUAAUCCGAAGCAUCAAGACUUUGAAAUCACAUACACAGAACAAUAUUCAUUAAGAAAGUGAAAUUAAAUGAUUAAUAAACUAUUUAUUCGAACCCUUGCUAUUUUCUAUUCUAAUGAAAGUCUUGGCUGUGGAACAUCUGUAAUAGAGUAGUUGGAUGCAAAUAAAGUCAUGCCUUUUAUUUUUUCCCCUGUUUGCUAUUUCACAUUCCUGUCACUGAAGCGCUGUGGCCUAAGACACAGAAGGUAACUGAAACAAUGUGGUUUAAGUCAAGGUGAUUAUCAGGGGUCCAAGCACAUUGGUUUUUGUAGAUGAUGCAGUUACACAAUGAACGUGUCUCUUUUCAAGUAAAUUAUGAGUCCUUAUGUGAGUACUAUUAUAUGCACAACAUGAAAAUAGAUAACUAAUAUAGUGUCCCUUCUACACUUUUUCAGUAAUGUGUGAUAACUUGAGAAAUAUGUUGUCAAUACAAUUAAAAUAACAAAAAGUAAUGGUAUUUAGGAGAUGAUAGCUUUUGCAUAAUUACUAUAUUGGGCUUUAUUAAAGUUUAUGAAAAAAGAAUGAAUGUUUAUGCAUUUUUUUAUUUAUGCACAUAAAUGAAACAUUUUCAAGUCUUUGAACAGAUCUUGAAGUAUUUGCUAUCCUGUGGCGCCAUCGAGUGGACAACAUUAGCAUUGUGGCCUUCAUUUUUGAACAACAUUAUGAAAGGGGCCAAUAUUUUUUGAAUGAUUAUAAAUAUUUAAUGAUUAGUUUACUGAUAAUAUACCCACAUUAAAAUCUAAUUUACUGAUUCUGUAUCUUAUUUCAUGCUUAAUCAUGAGUUUAAUUUUCAAUUUACAUUUUU
Molecule: long non-coding RNA, 2501 nt
Organism: Cyprinus carpio carpio
Lineage: Eukaryota; Metazoa; Chordata; Actinopteri; Cypriniformes; Cyprinidae
Source: Ensembl